Molecule: ribosomal RNA, 431 nt
Filed under: uncultured bacterium
Lineage: Bacteria
Description: partial 16S ribosomal RNA
Rfam family: Bacterial small subunit ribosomal RNA
Source: RNAcentral
CCUACGGGAGGCUGCAGUCAAGAAUCUUCCCCAAUGGGCGAAAGCCUGAGGGAGCGACGCCGCGUGACCGAUGAAGCCCUUCGGGGUGUAAAGGUCUUUUAUAUGGGAAAAAUCUGAUGGUACCAUAUGAAUAAGCCACGGCUAACUCUGUGCCAGCAGCCGCGGUAAGACAGAGGUGGCAAGCGUUAUCCGGAAUCACUGGGCGUAAAGAGUUCGUAGGUGGUUUUUUAAGUCAGGUGUUAAAUCUUCGAGCUCAACUCGAAGGCCGCAUCUGAAACUAAAAAACUUGAGAAAGAGAGAGGUGGAUGGAAUUCCCGGGGUAGCAGUGAAAUGCGUUGAUAUCGGGAGGAACACCAGUGGCGAAGGCGGCUCUCUGGGGUCAACCUGACGCUGAGGGGCGAAAGCGGGGGGAGCGAACCGGAUUAGAUACC